Molecule: ribosomal RNA, 585 nt
Filed under: uncultured bacterium
Lineage: Bacteria
Description: partial 16S ribosomal RNA
Rfam family: Bacterial small subunit ribosomal RNA
Source: RNAcentral
UGGGGAAUUUUGGACAAUGGGCGAAAGCCUGAUCCAGCAAUGCCGCGUGUGUGAAGAAGGCCUUCGGGUUGUAAAGCACUUUUGUCCGGAAAGAAAUCCUUGGCUCUAAUACAGUCGGGGGAUGACGGUACCGGAAGAAUAAGCACCGGCUAACUACGUGCCAGCAGCCGCGGUAAUACGUAGGGUGCAAGCGUUAAUCGGAAUUACUGGGCGUAAAGCGUGCGCAGGCGGUUUGCUAAGACCGAUGUGAAAUCCCCGGGCUCAACCUGGGAACUGCAUUGGUGACUGGCAGGCUAGAGUAUGGCAGAGGGGGGUAGAAUUCCACGUGUAGCAGUGAAAUGCGUAGGGAUGUGGAGGAAUACCGAUGGCGAAGGCAGCCCCCUGGGCCAAUACUGACGCUCAUGCACGAAAGCGUGGGGAGCAAACAGGAUUAGAUACCCUGGUAGUCCACGCCCUAAACGAUGUCAACUAGUUGUUGGGGAUUCAUUUCCUUAGUAACGUAGCUAACGCGUGAAGUUGACCGCCUGGGGAGUACGGUCGCAAGAUUAAAACUCAAAUGAAUUGACGGGGUCAUAGCUGUUUCCU